Small nucleolar RNA from Choloepus didactylus (southern two-toed sloth), 66 nucleotides. RefSeq annotates it as small nucleolar RNA SNORD61. NCBI's taxonomy places the organism in Eukaryota, Metazoa, Chordata, Mammalia, Pilosa, Megalonychidae. The record is from RefSeq and is a predicted model, not a curated record. The transcript has a single exon.
GCGAUGAUGAAUUUGAUUGUAUUGAUCAUCUGAGAUGAUUUCUGUCCUCUAAGAAGUUCUGAGCUU